UCUGUAUAUUUGGGGCUCUUCUGAAGGGUUGAAUGAAAACUCUCAGUGACUUCUGAGAUGACUUUGCAAACUUCGGCCAAACUGUUUCUUAAAAGAGUGUAUAAGGAUCCCAGUUUGAUUUGGAGCUUUCCCAGCAUGGUCUUAACUGCAGAGUACUUGAUUCUCUUGAAAUAGGCUGCAAGUUUCACACUCUGAGACUGAAUCCCAUUAGCAUCGUCCGGGUCCUGGGGAGAAACAUUGAUUUAAAAGUAGUUGAAAUGAAGCACAGAAACAAACUAUUAAAGCUAAGGGCUGAGCAGUGGCAGCCCUUUGGGGACCACCAGCAGCAGUGUUCUCAUCCUACCAGGCUGCAGCCUCUGCC
Long non-coding RNA from Lagopus leucura (white-tailed ptarmigan), 361 nucleotides. RefSeq lists it as uncharacterized. Lineage: Eukaryota; Metazoa; Chordata; Aves; Galliformes; Phasianidae. The record is from RefSeq and is a predicted model, not a curated record. The transcript is spliced from 4 exons.